UACGUAGGGGGCAAGCGUUGUUCGGAAUUACUGGGCGUAAAGCGCGUGUAGGCGGCUAUGCAAGUCGGAUGUGAAAGCCCUCGGCUCAACCGGGGAAGUGCACCCGAAACUGCAAAGUUAGAGUCUCGGAGAGGAUCGUGGAAUUCCCAGUGUAGCGGUGAAAUGCGUAGAUAUUGGGAGGAACACCAGUGGCGAAGGCGGCUCACUGGACCGGUACUGACGCUGAGGCGCGAAAGCGUGGGGAGCAAACAGG
This 253-nucleotide ribosomal RNA is filed under the name uncultured bacterium. RNAcentral's name for it is "partial 16S ribosomal RNA". It matches the Rfam family "Bacterial small subunit ribosomal RNA", at positions 524 to 776 of the family's 1533-position model. The record is from RNAcentral.